Molecule: ribosomal RNA, 1063 nt
Filed under: Staphylococcus aureus
Lineage: Bacteria; Bacillati; Bacillota; Bacilli; Caryophanales; Staphylococcaceae
Description: partial 23S ribosomal RNA
Rfam family: Bacterial large subunit ribosomal RNA
Source: RNAcentral
UCGAUUCCCUUAGUAGCGGCGAGCGAAACGGGAAGAGCCCAAACCAACAAGCUUGCUUGUUGGGGUUGUAGGACACUCUAUACGGAGUUACAAAGGACGACAUUAGACGAAUCAUCUGGAAAGAUGAAUCAAAGAAGGUAAUAAUCCUGUAGUCGAAAAUGUUGUCUCUCUUGAGUGGAUCCUGAGUACGACGGAGCACGUGAAAUUCCGUCGGAAUCUGGGAGGACCAUCUCCUAAGGCUAAAUACUCUCUAGUGACCGAUAGUGAACCAGUACCGUGAGGGAAAGGUGAAAAGCACCCCGGAAGGGGAGUGAAAUAGAACCUGAAACCGUGUGCUUACAAGUAGUCAGAGCCCGUUAAUGGGUGAUGGCGUGCCUUUUGUAGAAUGAACCGGCGAGUUACGAUUUGAUGCAAGGUUAAGCAGUAAAUGUGGAGCCGUAGCGAAAGCGAGUCUGAAUAGGGCGUUUAGUAUUUGGUCGUAGACCCGAAACCAGGUGAUCUACCCUUGGUCAGGUUGAAGUUCAGGUAACACUGAAUGGAGGACCGAACCGACUUACGUUGAAAAGUGAGCGGAUGAACUGAGGGUAGCGGAGAAAUUCCAAUCGAACCUGGAGAUAGCUGGUUCUCUCCGAAAUAGCUUUAGGGCUAGCCUCAAGUGAUGAUUAUUGGAGGUAGAGCACUGUUUGGACGAGGGGCCCCUCUCGGGUUACCGAAUUCAGACAAACUCCGAAUGCCAAUUAAUUUAACUUGGGAGUCAGAACAUGGGUGAUAAGGUCCGUGUUCGAAAGGGAAACAGCCCAGACCACCAGCUAAGGUCCCAAAAUAUAUGUUAAGUGGAAAAGGAUGUGGCGUUGCCCAGACAACUAGGAUGUUGGCUUAGAAGCAGCCAUCAUUUAAAGAGUGCGUAAUAGCUCACUAGUCGAGUGACACUGCGCCGAAAAUGUACCGGGGCUAAACAUAUUACCGAAGCUGUGGAUUGUCCUUUGGACAAUGGUAGGAGAGCGUUCUAAGGGCGUUGAAGCAUGAUCGUAAGGACAUGUGGAGCGCUUAGAAGUGAGAAUGC